RNAcentral lists this ribosomal RNA (443 nucleotides) under Oribacterium sinus. RNAcentral describes it as "bacterial SSU rRNA". It matches the Rfam family "Bacterial small subunit ribosomal RNA", at positions 28 to 455 of the family's 1533-position model. The record is from RNAcentral. Lineage: Bacteria; Bacillati; Bacillota; Clostridia; Lachnospirales; Lachnospiraceae.
GAUGAACGCUGGCGGCGUGCCUAACACAUGCAAGUCGAACGAGAUGCGUAUUGGAAAGCUUCGGCCGGAAGAUACGUUAUCUAGUGGCGGACGGGUGAGUAACACGUGGGUAACCUGCCUUAUGGAGGGGGAUAACAGAGAGAAAUCACUGCUAAUACCGCAUAAGCACACAGUACCGCAUGGUACAGGGUGAAAAGAUUUAUCGCCAUAAGAUGGACCCGCGUCUGAUUAGCCAGUUGGCAGGGUAAAAGCCUACCAAAGCAACGAUCAGUAGCCGAUCUGAGAGGAUGACCGGCCACAUUGGGACUGAGACACGGCCCAAACUCCUACGGGAGGCAGCAGUGGGGAAUAUUGCACAAUGGGGGAAACCCUGAUGCAGCGACGCCGCGUGAGUGAAGAAGUAUUUCGGUAUGCUAAGCUCUAUCAGCAGGGAAGAUAAUGAC